AGGCCUAACACAUGCAAGUCGAACGAGUGGCGGACGGGUGAGGAAUACAUCGGAAUCUACUCUGUCGUGGGGGAUAACGUAGGGAAACUUACGCUAAUACCGCAUACGAUUGAAUGAGCCGAUGUCGGAUUAGCUAGUUGGCGGGGUAAAGGCCCACCAAGGCGACGAUCCGUAGCUGGUCUGAGAGGAUGAUCAGCCACACUGGAACUGAGACACGGUCCAGACUCCUACGGGAGGCAGCAGUGGGGAAUAUUGGACAAUGGGCGCAAGCCUGAUCCAGCCAUACCGCGUGGGUGAAGAAGGCCUUCGGGUUGUAAAGCCCUUUUGUUGGGAAAGCGGUACCCAAAGAAUAAGCACCGGCUAACUUCGUGCCAGCAGCCGCGGUAAUACGAAGGGUGCAAGCGUUACUCGGAAUUACUGGGCGUAAAGCGUGCGUAGGUGGUCGUUUAAGUCCGUUGUGAAAGCCCUGGGCUCAACCUGGGAACUGCAGUGGAUACUGGGCGACUAGAAUGUGGUAGAGGGUAGCGGAAUUCCUGGUGUAGCAGUGAAAUGCGUAGAGAUC
RNAcentral lists this ribosomal RNA (562 nucleotides) under uncultured bacterium. Its description in RNAcentral is "bacterial SSU rRNA". It matches the Rfam family "Bacterial small subunit ribosomal RNA", at positions 44 to 698 of the family's 1533-position model. The record is from RNAcentral.